AGAAAGGUUGGGACGCCCACCACACACUUUUUCAGGGUCAGGUCACACAGGAACAACGUUUCUGCCUAAUUUGUUACUAAAAAAAUAGAGGAAAACUUCUCAGGUCAGUUUUACCUGCUACAGUGGAAGUGGCUCCGUCCGGCUCGGGUUCUGCUGCUGCUCCAGAUCUCCUCCGUCUGGUUCUGCUUCUCCUGCUGCUGUUCUGAGGCGAGUCAGCUGCAGCCGACAUCCUGCCGCCCGCUGAGCCGCCGCUGCCUGACACACACACACACACACACACACACACACACGUGUGCACGCAGCCUAAUCUGCAACUCUCCCUUUCUACAGAGGAAAAGAAAACCGCUGCUCCACUAAACUUUCCUACAGCUUUGUAAAACAAUCCCCAAAAAACUGUUCACUGAUUAAAUUAUUUCAUUAAAACUGAUUGCUGGACAGUAAAUCAAUAAAAAUAUAAAUUGUGAUAGUCAUGUGAUCAAUAUGUCUCACAAUAUAUAGAAUAUUCAACUCUAUAUAUUGAAUAUUCUGACUGAAUAUUAAAUCUAUGCAAUAUUCACUGAACUCUGAUCCAGAACCAAAAGCAUUCUGGGAGAUGUAGGCUGGGUUGGUGACAUCAACUAACACACUUGCUCCUUGGUUGCCUAGCAACAACAGUUGCCUAGCCUGGAAUCCAUCCAUGGACACAGUUUCCCUCAGCGUGGAGGGAAACUGUGUAAACGAGGAAAGUUCACAUCGCCAGUUCGACUAUAUUUCAGAUCUUUAAAACAAAUAAAAUAUUAAUUAUUGAUAUCAACUGAUAUGAAACGAUUUUCUGACAAUAUACUCCAGUCUUACUUUAACACGGUUUUUAAAACUUGUGUUUUGUCUUGAAAUAAAGAAAAUCAAAUUUCAAAAAGAACAUUUUCCAGGACAGACAUGUUUGGACUCUGAAGAAACGUUUAUUAGAAGGAUCUACGUUCAAAAUAAUUUAAGGCACAGAGUGAGACUGUUUGCCAAGUCUGGUAUAAAAACA
Long non-coding RNA from Poecilia latipinna (sailfin molly), 1012 nucleotides. RefSeq lists it as uncharacterized. NCBI's taxonomy places the organism in Eukaryota, Metazoa, Chordata, Actinopteri, Cyprinodontiformes, Poeciliidae. The transcript has 2 exons. The record is from RefSeq and is a predicted model, not a curated record.